This 311-nucleotide long non-coding RNA is filed under the name Pan troglodytes (chimpanzee). RNAcentral describes it as "lncRNA (ENSPTRG00000054021.1)". The record is from RNAcentral. Lineage: Eukaryota; Metazoa; Chordata; Mammalia; Primates; Hominidae.
CACAGUCACAGGGUGGCUGCCUCUUCUGUGCGCUUUCUCCUCGAACCCAGACCAUCUCCCACCCUCAUCACAGAUUUUAGAUCCUGACCACCCCUCUGGCCCCAGGUCCCAAAACCCACCUGGUCCUGAAGACCGCCUGUGUGUCGUCUGUCUGCAGCCUCUCCUUGAAAUGUUUCACUAGCACCCAGAGAAAGCUGACCUGGCUGCAGGGGCCCCGGGCAGGCUCACCGGAACAAGAAUUCCUUGGUCCAGCGAGCUCGAGGCUUCCUCUCCUGGUUAGAGGCCCUGAGAUGAAAUUACCCUGAAUGCAA